UUAUUUUAAAAGAUGAUGCCAUCUAUGACUUUCAUAGCUAGAGAGAAAAAGUCAAGGCCUAGCUUCAAAGCUUUAAAGAAGAGGCUUACUGUCUUGUUAG
Molecule: long non-coding RNA, 100 nt
Organism: Sapajus apella (tufted capuchin)
Lineage: Eukaryota; Metazoa; Chordata; Mammalia; Primates; Cebidae
Exons: 3
Source: RefSeq, a predicted model, not a curated record